UACGGAGGGUGCAAGCGUUAUCCGGAUUCACUGGGUUAAAGGGUGCGUAGGUGGGUUGGUAAGUCAGUGGUGAAAUCUCCAGGCUUAACUUGGAAACUGCCAUUGAUAUUAUCAAUCUUGAAUACCGUGGAGGUCAGCGGAAUAUGUCAUGUAGCGGUGAAAUGCUUAGAUAUGACAUAGAACACCAAUUGCGAAGGCAGCUGGCUACACGAAUAUUGCACUGAUGCACGAAAGCGUGGG
RNAcentral lists this ribosomal RNA (240 nucleotides) under uncultured bacterium. RNAcentral describes it as "partial 16S ribosomal RNA". It matches the Rfam family "Bacterial small subunit ribosomal RNA", at positions 524 to 765 of the family's 1533-position model. The record is from RNAcentral.